This 182-nucleotide small RNA is filed under the name Chrysemys picta bellii (western painted turtle). RNAcentral's name for it is "TUC338 (ENSCPBG00000019310.1)". The record is from RNAcentral. Lineage: Eukaryota; Metazoa; Chordata; Testudines; Emydidae.
UUGAAAGUCCUGGAGACUGAAGUCCUCUGUUUAAUCCAUGGAGCAGGUAUAACAAAAGUAGCAGCAGUGCACGCUUCUUAUACAGUACAACCCUGCCAAUAUACCUGAACCCUGACCUAGACCUUGAAAGGUAGUCUGGAAACUACUCCUUGUGCCCUAAAAUAAAUUAAUCCCAGGCACCU